RNAcentral lists this ribosomal RNA (253 nucleotides) under uncultured bacterium. RNAcentral describes it as "partial 16S ribosomal RNA". It matches the Rfam family "Bacterial small subunit ribosomal RNA", at positions 524 to 776 of the family's 1533-position model. The record is from RNAcentral.
UACGUAGGGUGCAAGCGUUAAUCGGAAUUACUGGGCGUAAAGCGCGCGCAGGCGGCUUUGCAAGUCAGAUGUGAAAUCCCCGGGCUUAACCUGGGAACUGCAUUUGUGACUGCAUGGCUAGAGUGCGGCAGAGGGGGAUGGAAUUCCGCGUGUAGCAGUGAAAUGCGUAGAUAUGCGGAGGAACACCGAUGGCGAAGGCAAUCCCCUGGGCCUGCACUGACGCUCAUGCACGAAAGCGUGGGGAGCAAACAGG